CACUUUAACAGGGAGUCUCAUCUCUGAAGAACAGCAUUCUGGAUAUGAAAAUGCUGAUGAACCUUUAUCAGCAGAACAGAAAGUCACACCUGGAUACUAUAACGAUGCCAUCACAGAUGGACCAACAGCAGAUCGUCGGACAGCAGACGUCCCAGAGAAUUAUGAUGAUGUCAUCAUUAUUAAACAGAACACUCAUGCUAUAAAUGACUAUGAGAAUAUGGGAAAGAAGACUAAAGAAGAGGGAGGGUCUGUUUGACUCGAUGACCACAGCCACCGCCCAUUUUCAUCAAAAUUAUAUCAAGUGUCUGACAUUUAAUUGAUUUGAUAUUGCUACUAAAUCUGCAAUGCCUGCUUUCUGACAUAAAUAAUUUUUUUCCCGGAGAGGGAUUAGACUAGUCCUAGACUAAAAUAAAUGUAAGAGCUGUCCAAACUGAAAACAGCUUGGACUGACAUAUCUUAAAAUACAUCAGUGCCCUUUGUUUUGUCUCAAAAUGCACACAAGUAAUGUUUUUAGCAAGACAUGUUUGUUAAAACUAGUUAUAUUUCCUAAAUAAACUAAGGCCUAGUCCUGGCUUAAGCUAAACCCUGUCCGGGAAACCGCCCCUUAAUGUUUUAAACCUUUAGAAUAUCAGCUUAAAGUGCUUUAUUAAUCAGUUUAGCAGCUUAAAACAUAUUUUAAUAUUUAGUAAAUCAGCGUAUUACUUUUAUAUUACUUUCAGUGCCUUUUUGAUUUAAUAAACAAACCAAAGUUUAAUUGUUUAUGUUUUGGUUUUAUUUACAACAAGUAUUCAUUAUAAACCAAGUAAUUUGCGACAACUGUACAUCAAUCAAAGCACAUUUUUUUGAAUAAUGGUGCAUGUUAACCAAACAGCAGUCUUAAUUGAUGGUUUGAUUUACUUGCGCUGAGCUUGAAUCUUCUGAAGCAACAGCUCCAUCUGCAGGUUGAGGUUGGGUUGACCCUUUUUGGUUUUUCUUUUCAACAACUGAUAUUUGGCAAUUUUCUUUUCUUUGUAUUUUUUCAGUGCCUCUUCCCUUUGAGCUUUGUCUUUUAAGAAUUCCUGCAACAGACAUAAUAAAUCAUGGAUCAGUUAUUCACAAUGGAUGAUGAAAGUGUGUAUGUUUAAACUUUUGUAAUGUGUCUUCCUCCCUUACAUGAUAUAUAAGACAAUAUAUUGAGACAUAGCAAACAAAAAUGACACAAUUACAUCUUGGUAACGGUCAAUAAGGAGUGUGUGUGUGUGUGUGUGUGUGUGUGUGUGUGUGUGUGUGUGUGU
Misgurnus anguillicaudatus (oriental weatherfish) is the source of this 1274-nucleotide non-coding RNA. Lineage: Eukaryota; Metazoa; Chordata; Actinopteri; Cypriniformes; Cobitidae. The record is from RefSeq and is a predicted model, not a curated record.